Molecule: long non-coding RNA, 846 nt
Organism: Anneissia japonica
Lineage: Eukaryota; Metazoa; Echinodermata; Crinoidea; Comatulida; Comatulidae
Exons: 3
Source: RefSeq, a predicted model, not a curated record
UUCUAGGCCUAUGUGACCUGCAAACAUGAAGAUGACAAGCUAAUUGCCUUUGAGAGAGCAAAUCUUGUGUUUAUCUUCAAUUUCCAUCCUAAUAAAAGUUAUGCAGACUAUAGAAUUGGCGUGACCAACCCAGGAAAAUACAAGAUAGUUCUUGAUUCAGAUUCUAGUGAAUUUGGUGGCCAUAGCCGUCUUGAUCAUUCUACAGAAUUCUUCACACAAAAUUUUCAAUGGCACGAACGCAUGUUUUCCAUACAGAUAUACAUUCCAUGUCGUGUAGCCUUGGUCCUAGCAGCAGAGGAACAGUGAACUCAAGUUAUCAAUGAUCUUCCAAGAAAAGAAUUAUCUUGCACAUCCUACACUGGAAAAAUCGCUUAUAUAAAAAUCAUAUAGCUGUAUACUCUAUAUAGAUUUUGGAUUGUUGAUGGUAUACUGUAAUUGAUUUAUGGAGUUUAGUUUAAAUUGUUUUCAUAAAAGGUAAAAGCUUGGUUGAGAUUUACAUUAUCAUAUAGACUGACUGUAUUGAUGAUCAUCUCCACAUGUACAUCUCCACUUUGAGACUUUGACAGUUGAUUCCAUGGAGUGGUGGCUCUGCCAACAGGGGUCUAAGAAGUCCAACAGGGGGUCCGAACCAAGGGGAUGCCCAAAGGGUUCUGGUGGGAUCAAGGAAGAGAGAGUUCAUGGUUUAGGAUGGUAAAAAUGUGCUUUAAUACCAAACAUAAGGAACUACAAAAAUUAAAAGUUUGAUAGGAGUGAUACAAGUAUGCUGUGGUGUGUUUCAGUUAAAACCAUUAUCAUGCCAACCACUCCGAUUCCACGCCAACACAUUUAUCAGACAUUCCGACCACU